UUACAGAUACACUCCUCGACCCUAUAAGAAUGUAAUGAAUAAAUUUGAUCUUUAAUUUAAAGUAUUUACACUAAUGGAUACCACAAAAUCUUUUUUUAUACUUAAUAGAAGUAUAAUAUUAACUUUAAGUGUUUGUUUAAUCUACUAUUUUGACGCAUUCUACGAAACUUUUUUUAACGAUCCAACCGUCAAACUUAUUUGUACACAUUCCAAGAUUUCAUACAUAAAAAAUUGUAAAAAACAAACAUUCAGAGAUUACGUAACGGAACAAAAGUUAUCAACGGUUAUAAACAAAAAAUCACAAUUUAACGGUUAUUUUAGCUCCGAUUUUGAUGAUUUUUUACAGAUACACUCCUCGACCCUAUAUGAAUGUAAUGAAUAAAUUUUAUCUUUAAUUUAAAGUAUUUACACUAGUGGAUACCACAAAAACUUAUUUUAUACUUAAUAGAAGUAUAAUAUUAACUCUUAAGUGUUUGUUUAAUCUACCGUUUUGACGCACAAUGCAUUCUACGAAACUUUUUUCAACAAUCCAACCGUCAAAAUUAUUUGUACACAUUCCGAGAUUGCAUACGUAAAAAAUCAUAAAAAAUAAAGAUUCAGAGAUUACGUGACGGAACAAAAGUUUUCGAUGGUUAUAAAUGAAAAAUCACAAUUUAACGGUUAUUUUAGCUCCGAUUUUGAUGAUUUUUUACAGAUACACUCCUCGAC
Molecule: long non-coding RNA, 708 nt
Filed under: Malus domestica (apple)
Lineage: Eukaryota; Viridiplantae; Streptophyta; Magnoliopsida; Rosales; Rosaceae
Description: long non-coding RNA (MDOM_LNC011524)
Source: RNAcentral